ACGGGAGGCAGCAGUGAGGAAUAUUGGUCGAUGGUCGGAAGACUGAACCAGCCAAGUAGCGUGAAGGAAGACUGCCCUACGGGUUGUAAACUUCUUUUAUGUGGGAAUAAAGUGCCCUACGCGUAGGGUUUUGUAUGUACCACAUGAAUAAGCAUCGGCUAAUUCCGUGCCAGCAGCCGCGGUAAUACGGAAGAUGCGAGCGUUAUCCGGAUUUAUUGGGUUUAAAGGGAGCGUAGGCGGAGACUUAAGUCAGCGGUUAAAGCGUGUGGCUCAACCAUACCACGCCGUUGAUACUGGGUCCCUUGAGUGCACAUAAGGAUGGUGGAAUUCAUGGUGUAGCGGUGAAAUGCUUAGAUAUCAUGAAGAACUCCGAUUGCGAAGGCAGCUGUCCGGGGUGUAACUGACGCUAAUGCUCGAAAGUGCGGGUAUCAAACAGGAUUAGAUACCCUGGUA
This 453-nucleotide ribosomal RNA is filed under the name uncultured Prevotellaceae bacterium. Its description in RNAcentral is "bacterial SSU rRNA". It matches the Rfam family "Bacterial small subunit ribosomal RNA", at positions 341 to 792 of the family's 1533-position model. The record is from RNAcentral. Lineage: Bacteria; Pseudomonadati; Bacteroidota; Bacteroidia; Bacteroidales; Prevotellaceae.